RNAcentral lists this non-coding RNA (175 nucleotides) under human gut metagenome. Its description in RNAcentral is "glmS glucosamine-6-phosphate activated ribozyme". It matches the Rfam family "glmS glucosamine-6-phosphate activated ribozyme aptamer". Rfam says of the family: This entry contains a glucosamine-6-phosphate activated ribozyme that is found in the mRNA for GlmS. GlmS is an enzyme that uses fructose-6-phosphate and glutamine to generate glucosamine-6-phosphate. The record is from RNAcentral.
AAAAUAGCGCCGGGCCUGCCUUGGCACGGUCACCGCGUUUGCGGUGUUUUCGGGCAGGUGACGAGGAAGAGGUUAUCGAAACAUUCGGCGGAUGCCUCUUGCCCCAUAAGUGCGGGGGCACAAGCUUUUUGCCAAAAGCGGGCAGUGAUGCGCGUAUACAAAGCAAAAGGCAAGC